CCUAGUGCUGCAGCUGUUGAUUUCCGGAGUUGUUCAGAGUAUUGAGGUAGCUGCCCAGCGUCCGCAGGACCACCUACUCUGUCUCUAUCAGUUGUUUCUUUUGCUAUUCUGUCAGACAUUUGUAUUACUUCCGUUCAGACCUGUAUCUUAUUUUAUUAGAGACUGUACUCUUGACUUCUUGGUCUUUCCGGAGAAUUAUUGUUCUUGCUCAGCUAUGUUUUCAUUGCUAUUGUCU
RNAcentral lists this long non-coding RNA (235 nucleotides) under Nicotiana benthamiana. RNAcentral describes it as "long non-coding RNA (NBEN_LNC014065)". Lineage: Eukaryota; Viridiplantae; Streptophyta; Magnoliopsida; Solanales; Solanaceae. The record is from RNAcentral.